GCCGACUUAGCUCAGAGGUAGAGCAGCUGUUUCGUAAACAGCAGGUCACUGGUUCGAUUCCAGUAGUCGGCU
This 72-nucleotide transfer RNA is filed under the name Candidatus Daviesbacteria bacterium. RNAcentral's name for it is "tRNA-Thr". It matches the Rfam family "tRNA". Rfam says of the family: Transfer RNA (tRNA) molecules are approximately 80 nucleotides in length. Their secondary structure includes four short double-helical elements and three loops (D, anti-codon, and T loops). Further hydrogen bonds mediate the characteristic L-shaped molecular structure. tRNAs have two regions of fundamental functional importance: the anti-codon, which is responsible for specific mRNA codon recognition, and the 3' end, to which the tRNAs corresponding amino acid is attached (by aminoacyl-tRNA synthetases). tRNAs cope with the degeneracy of the genetic code in two manners: having more than one tRNA (with a specific anti-codon) for a particular amino acid; and 'wobble' base-pairing, i.e. permitting non-standard base-pairing at the 3rd anti-codon position. Lineage: Bacteria; Candidatus Daviesiibacteriota. The record is from RNAcentral.